Molecule: ribosomal RNA, 181 nt
Filed under: Rhizophagus irregularis
Lineage: Eukaryota; Fungi; Glomeromycota; Glomeromycetes; Glomerales; Glomeraceae
Source: RNAcentral
CAGUCGUACCGGCGGAUAAUCAGCCUUUCGGGUGCGAUUCUGUGGGGCGUGAGGAGCUUAACCGCCUUCAUGUUUUGCAUAUUCGUGCACAUUUGGUGUACUUGUCCGUGUGGUGGGUUAACAUCAAUUUCGGUCGUCAUAAAAUGACUGGAGGAAUGGUGGCACCUCCGGGUGUGUUAUA